GGCCAGUGUCGGAAUCCACACAUCCACAAGCAGCAUUUGUUUUCUUAACACUUUUUUUUUUUUUUCCCCCUUCCAGGAUAUGUAGCGGCAGAGGCCAAAGUCUAUAAAUUUCUGACUCUGCGCCCUACUCAUUGUCCGAGUUUCCGCGUUUUUCAUGAACGCUCUCGGCCGCCGGGAAUUCUCUUUGAUGGGAUUUCAGGUUUCAGCAGCAAGUCCUGUUUACUUUUCUCGAUUCUAGACCCAAAGGAAAAUGAUACUUUGCUAAUUCCCUCCUCGGAAAGCCCUCGUCUCCUGGUUCUUGUUCCUUGGGAUUAAAAGUUGUGACUUCAACUUUUUCUUCCUUGGCUCUAAGAUGGGAAAACUGAGAAAACAGCGAUGGUCAAAACUGCGCUGAUGAUCAAAGAAAGCAGACAGAAAUGAACCCCGGCAGCGAGUCAGCAGCCCUCCUCCUGGAUACUGAUAUACUUUUGGUGUCUAAUGUCCUGGGAUGCUUCUUGUCACAGAAAUAUUCGCAUUGUGAAGUGCACACAUUCAGCACCUUGGUGCUGCUAAAUGCCAAAGCAUCAAUGAUACUAUCGAGAAAUAGGAAGACAAAGGAAAGAAACACUGAGCCCAGAAAGCUUCCUUACCUGGAUUCUCUGGUUUUUGCAUUACUUGGGAAGCUAGUGCUAGACCGUUAGUCCACUGGAAAAUGCCAUAUUUUUAAAAAUGGUAAUCUGAGUCAUUUCCUGGGGAUUCUUUA
RNAcentral lists this long non-coding RNA (742 nucleotides) under Homo sapiens (human). RNAcentral describes it as "HSALNT0360642". Lineage: Eukaryota; Metazoa; Chordata; Mammalia; Primates; Hominidae. The record is from RNAcentral.